This 387-nucleotide long non-coding RNA is filed under the name Nicotiana benthamiana. RNAcentral describes it as "long non-coding RNA (NBEN_LNC037807)". The record is from RNAcentral. Lineage: Eukaryota; Viridiplantae; Streptophyta; Magnoliopsida; Solanales; Solanaceae.
UCACGCUUUUAUAGGCCUAAGUGUUCAGUGUUUGUGCAAUAUUGUGUUGUUUUUGAAUAUCUUUGUAAUCUCUGAUUUGUAUAUGAUUUCCCUUAAAUGUUCUUGCUAAUUUCUUUUGAAUUGUUUCCUUACUUUGGUAUGCUUUCCUUACUUAGAAGCAAUUCUCUCUGAUUUUCAGGUCUUGCCCGAGAUUCUUUGACUAAUUGGUAGAAUUAGCUUAUAUUUUCCCAUCCAUAUUUGUGCAUAAAUAGCCUUCACUAUAUUUUCCUAACUUAAGUUGCUAUGUAUCUGACCCUUAUGGUAUAUUAUAUGCUUGCUACUUUUACUAAGCUAAACACAUCAGUUAAUUGAUUCUUUUCCUAUUUUUAAAACUGAUGUUUGUUACCG